GACUUCUUGGUAUAGUAAUUUUUCAGGUUAUUAGAGAAAGAACUUCAAAACUUUUUUUUCAUUCUUUUGUCUCUCUCUUUCUGAGGUACACUGAAAGCUAUUCUGAUGAUGAUUCAAACAUGGAAGAUUACCCAGAUCCACAGACUCCAUGCCAUUGAAGACCCCUGCCCGAGAACCUGAGGGAGGAUGGUUUAUUGACAAAACCCCAGGUGGACAGAAAGAAAGUCUUCCCUUGGACCUGUCAGAUGACCAAAGCAACUGUAAAAAGCAGGAUCCUGGGAUUCAGGUAUUUUUAGUGAGAGUUCCGUGUAGUUGGAGUAGAGUGCAGUCUUUUCACUGAAUGUAGUAUCAAGUGGGUGCUGUACUCUGUUUUUAAAGCAUCAC
This 384-nucleotide long non-coding RNA is filed under the name Rattus norvegicus (Norway rat). Its description in RNAcentral is "long non-coding RNA NONRATT009062". The record is from RNAcentral. Lineage: Eukaryota; Metazoa; Chordata; Mammalia; Rodentia; Muridae.